This 422-nucleotide ribosomal RNA is filed under the name uncultured prokaryote. Its description in RNAcentral is "bacterial SSU rRNA". It matches the Rfam family "Bacterial small subunit ribosomal RNA", at positions 355 to 774 of the family's 1533-position model. The record is from RNAcentral.
UAGGGAAUAUUGGGCAAUGGGCGAAAGCCUGACCCAGCCAUGCCGCGUGCAGGAUGACAGCCUUAUGGGUUGUAAACUGCUUUUGUAUGAGAAAAAACCUUUGAACGUGUUCGAAGUUGAUGGUAUCAUGCGAAUAAGCAUCGGCUAACUCCGUGCCAGCAGCCGCGGUAAUACGGAGGAUGCGAGCGUUAUCCGGAUUUAUUGGGUUUAAAGGGUGCGCAGGCGGAUUUUUAAGUCAGUGGUGAAAUCCUACAGCUUAACUGUAGAAUUGCCAUUGAUACUGGAAGUCUAGAAUUUAGUUGAAGUGGCUGGAAUGUGUCAUGUAGCGGUGAAAUGCAUAGAGAUGACACAGAACACCGAUAGCGAAGGCAGGUCACUAAACUAAUAUUGACGCUCAUGCACGAAAGCGUGGGGAUCAAACA